GCACUGCUGAGGAGUCCCAUAAUAGGACGAAAUAGCCGUCCAGUGC
Molecule: non-coding RNA, 46 nt
Organism: Schistosoma mansoni
Lineage: Eukaryota; Metazoa; Platyhelminthes; Trematoda; Strigeidida; Schistosomatidae
Source: Rfam